RNAcentral lists this ribosomal RNA (435 nucleotides) under uncultured bacterium. RNAcentral's name for it is "partial 16S ribosomal RNA". It matches the Rfam family "Bacterial small subunit ribosomal RNA", at positions 29 to 507 of the family's 1533-position model. The record is from RNAcentral.
AACGAACGCUGGCGGCAUGCCUAACACAUGCAAGUCGAACGAUUGCCUUCGGGUGAUAGUGGCGCACGGGUGCGUAACGCGUGGGAAUCUGCCCUUAGGUUCGGAAUAACAGCUGGAAACGGCUGCUAAUACCGGAUGAUAUCGCGAGAUCAAAGAUUUAUCGCCUGAGGAUGAGCCCGCGUUGGAUUAGGUAGUUGGUGGGGUAAAGGCCUACCAAGCCGACGAUCCAUAGCUGGUCUGAGAGGAUGAUCAGCCACACUGGGACUGAGACACGGCCCAGACUCCUACGCGAGGCAGCAGUGGGGAAUAUUGGACAAUGGGCGCAAGCCUGAUCCAGCAAUGCCGCGUGAGUGAUGAAGGCCCUAGGGUUGUAAAGCUCUUUUACCCGGGAAGAUAAUGACUGUACCGGGAGAAUAAGCCCCGGCUAACUCCGUG